Molecule: long non-coding RNA, 442 nt
Organism: Pongo pygmaeus (Bornean orangutan)
Lineage: Eukaryota; Metazoa; Chordata; Mammalia; Primates; Hominidae
Exons: 4
Source: RefSeq, a predicted model, not a curated record
GUCUGAAGUCUGAAAUGGGUCUCAAGAAGCUAAAAUCAAGAUGUUAGCAGAGUUGUGUUCCUUCUGAAAACUCUAGCCAUGUAGGAUGUGCCUCCUUCUUCUUUGCCUUUUGCCAUGAUUGUAAGUUACCUGAGGACUCCACAACCAUGCUGCCUGUACAGCCUGCAGAACUAUGGAGUCUCACUCUGUCACCUCGGCUGGAGUGCAGUGGAGCAAUUUUGGUUCACUGCAACCUCUGCCUCCUGAGUUUCAGCGAUUCUCCUGCCUCAUCCUCCUGAGUAGUUGGGACUACAGGACACAGUGAGGAGACAGGCAGCGGCAAGCCAGAAGGAGAGCUCUUACUAGGAACCAAAUUGCCUGGCACCUUGAUCUUGGACUUCCUAGCCUCCAGAACUGUGAGAGGUAAGUGUCAAUUGGUUAAGCUAUCCAGUCUAUGGUAUUU